Molecule: transfer RNA, 73 nt
Filed under: Clostridiales bacterium
Lineage: Bacteria; Bacillati; Bacillota; Clostridia; Eubacteriales
Also listed under: 1 other name
Description: tRNA-Thr
Rfam family: tRNA
About the family: Transfer RNA (tRNA) molecules are approximately 80 nucleotides in length. Their secondary structure includes four short double-helical elements and three loops (D, anti-codon, and T loops).
Source: RNAcentral
GCUUUCUUAGCUCAGUAGGUAGAGCACCACCAUGGUAAGGUGGGGGUCAUCAGUUCGAAUCUGAUAGAAAGCU